RNAcentral lists this unclassified non-coding RNA (251 nucleotides) under plant metagenome. RNAcentral describes it as "partial contains small subunit ribosomal RNA, internal transcribed spacer 1, and 5.8S ribosomal RNA". The stretch from base 203 to 251 matches the Rfam family "5.8S ribosomal RNA", at positions 1 to 49 of the family's 154-position model. The record is from RNAcentral.
UCUCCGUUGGUGAACCAGCGGAGGGAUCAUUACAGAGUUGCAAAACUCCCAAACCAUUGUGAACGUUACCUAUCCCGUUGCUUCGGCGGGCGGCCCGGGCCCCGCGCCCGGCGCCCCCCGGCCCCCCGUGGGCGCCCGCCGGAGGUAAACCAAACCCUUGAGUUGCAUGGCCUCUCUGAGUCUUCUGUACUGAAUAAGUCAAAACUUUCAACAACGGAUCUCUUGGUUCUGGCUUCGAUGAAGAACGCAGC